RNAcentral lists this ribosomal RNA (1510 nucleotides) under metagenome. Its description in RNAcentral is "bacterial SSU rRNA". It matches the Rfam family "Bacterial small subunit ribosomal RNA". The record is from RNAcentral.
AGAGUUUGAUCCUGGCUCAGAGUGAACGCUGGCGGCGUGGAUUAGGCAUGCAAGUCGCGCGAUGGUGCUUGCACCAUAGCGGCAAACGGGUGAGGAACACGUGAGCAAUUUUCCCUAAUGUCGAGCAUAGCAUCGUGAAAACGAUGGUAAUUCUCGAUAUGUCUAUCUGAUCGCAUGAUCAGAAGGGUAAAGGUGGGGACCGCAAGGCCUGCCGCAUUAGGAUGAGCUCGCGUCCUAUCAGCUUGUUGGUGAGGUAAUGGCUCACCAAGGCGUUUGACGGGUAGCUGGUCUGAGAGGAUGGUCAGCCACACUGGGACUGAGACACUGCCCAGACUCCUACGGGAGGCUGCAGUCGAGAAUCUUUAGCAAUGGACGAAAGUCUGACUAUGCAACGCCGCGUGAAGGAUGAAGGUUUUCGGAUCGUAAACUUCUUUUGUCAGGAAAGAAACCCCAAAGUUUAAUAGGCUUUGGGUUGACGGUACCUGACGAAUAAGCCACGGCCAACUCCGUGCCAGCAGCCGCGGUAAUACGGAGGUGGCGAGCGUUACUCGGAAUCAUUGGGUGUAAAGGGCAAGUAGGCGGUUUAUUAAGUGAGGGGUGAAAUCUUCCGACUCAAUCGGAAAAUUGCCUUUCAAACUGAUAGACUUGAGGCUGUGAGGGGGAAAUGGAAUUCGCGGUGUAAGGGUGAAAUCUGUAGAUAUCGCGAAGAACACCGGUGGCGUAGGCGAUUUCCUGGCGCAGUCCUGACGCUGAAUUGCGAAAGCUAGGGGAGCGAACAGAAUUAGAUACUCUGGUAGUCCUAGCCGUAAACGAUGAGCACUAGGUGUUGGACCUUCGGGUUCAGUGCCGCAGCUAACGCAUUAAGUGCUCCACCUGGGGACUACGGCCGCAAGGUUAAAACUCAAAGGAAUUGACGGGGACCCGCACAAGCGGUGGAACAUGUGGUUUAAUUCGAUGCUACGCGAAGAACCUCACCAGGGCUUGACAUGUAAGGAGUAGGGAAUCCGAAAGGUGACCGACCCGUUAAGUCCGGGAAUUUACACAGGUGCUGCAUGGCUGUCGUCAGCUCGUGUCGUGAGAUGUUGGGUUAAGUCCCGCAACGAGCGCAACCAUUGCCCCAUGUUGCUACCCCUGUAAACCUGCUUGCAGGUUUUAAGGGCGCACUCUUGGGGGACUGCCUGGGAUAACCAGGAGGAAGGCGGAGAUGACGUCAAGUCAGUACGGCCUUUACGCCCUGGGCUACACACGUGUUACAAUGGCUGGUACAAAGGGUUGCCAACCCGCGAGGGGGAGCUAAUCUCAAAAACCCAGCCUCAGUUCGGAUUGGAGUCUGCAAUUCGACUCCAUGAAGCCGGAAUCGCUAGUAAUGGGAGAUCAGCACGCUCCCGUGAAUACGUUCCCGGGUCUUGUACACACCGCCCGUCAAGCGAUGAGAGCUGGGGGUACCCGAAGUCCUAUGUAGAUAGGCCGAAGGUAAAACCGGUGAUUGGCGCUAAGUCGUGACAAGGUA